Molecule: ribosomal RNA, 512 nt
Filed under: uncultured bacterium
Lineage: Bacteria
Description: bacterial SSU rRNA
Rfam family: Bacterial small subunit ribosomal RNA
Source: RNAcentral
ACGAACGCUGGCGGCGUGCCUAAUACAUGCAAGUCGAGCGCAGGAAACAAGUUGAUCCCUUCGGGGUGACGCUUGUGGAAUGAGCGGCGGACGGGUGAGUAACACGUGGGCAACCUACCUUGUAGACUGGGAUAACUCCGGGAAACCGGAGCUAAUACGGGAUGAUCAUUUAAAUCGCAUGAUUGAAAUGUAAAAGUGGGGAGUAAUCCUCACACUACGAGAUGGGCCCGCGGCGCAUUAGCUAGUUGGUAAGGUAACGGCUUACCAAGGCGACGAUGCGUAGCCGACCUGAGAGGGUGAUCGGCCACACUGGAACUGAGACACGGUCCAGACUCCUACGGGAGGCAGCAGUAGGGAAUCAUCCGCAAUGGGCGAAAGCCUGACGGUGCAACGCCGCGUGAACGAUGAAGGUUUUCGGAUCGUAAAGUUCUGUUAUGAGGGAAGAACAAGUGCCGUUCGAAUAGGGCGGCACCUUGACGGUACCUCACGAGAAAGCCCCGGCUAACUACGUG